CUUUAUUUAAAGUGUAAUUCUACAAUUCCCUGUUGUUCUUUUGGUUUGCACUAGGAUGCAGAAGAGAAAUCCUUGCACUUUCUGUCUUUGUGGCAGCCCAGAUUGAAUUGGGGAAUACAUUU
This is a small nucleolar RNA of Oryctolagus cuniculus (rabbit), 122 nucleotides long. Lineage: Eukaryota; Metazoa; Chordata; Mammalia; Lagomorpha; Leporidae. The record is from Ensembl.